CUCCAGUUCUUCUGUUGCUCCAGUGAUUACAAGGGCACACGAAUCUGAUGUCUUAAUGGAUGCUGCAUCAUUUACACCACCAGAUUAUGGAGGCAAUUCAUCAUCAUUCAUUGAAGAUGGAGCACCGAGAAGUAUGAGUAACAGAUCUGGUGCUAGUGGUCCAGAUAACGUCGCAGCACGUAACCAUAAUCAUCUAUUUCAAGGAAACUAUGUAGGUCAAGCCCAUCAGUUGCCUGGCAAUCCUUGGUUGGACCGGCAGUUCAACAGCAAUGGUAGUGGCUCUCAAACUUGAAGAAGUAUGAGUGACAGAUCUGGUGCUAGUGGUCCAGAUAAUGUGGCAGCACAUAACCAUAAUCAUCUAUUUCAAGGAAGCUAUGUAGGUCAACCCCAUCAGUUGCCUGGCAAUCCUUGGUUGGACCGGCAGUUC
RNAcentral lists this long non-coding RNA (427 nucleotides) under Nicotiana benthamiana. RNAcentral describes it as "long non-coding RNA (NBEN_LNC012057)". The record is from RNAcentral. Lineage: Eukaryota; Viridiplantae; Streptophyta; Magnoliopsida; Solanales; Solanaceae.